UACGAAGGGGACUAGCGUUGUUCGGAAUUACUGGGCGUAAAGCGCGCGUAGGCGGAUCGCUAAGUCAGGGGUGAAAUCCCAGGGCUCAACCCUGGAACUGCCUUUGAUACUGACGAUCUGGAGAUCGGGAGAGGUUGGUGGAAUUCCGAGUGUAGAGGUGAAAUUCGUAGAUAUUCGGAGGAACUCCAGAAGCGAAGGCGGCCAACUGGCCCGAUACUGACGCUGAGGCGCGAAAGCGUGGGGAGCAAACAGG
Molecule: ribosomal RNA, 253 nt
Filed under: uncultured bacterium
Lineage: Bacteria
Description: partial 16S ribosomal RNA
Rfam family: Bacterial small subunit ribosomal RNA
Source: RNAcentral